AAGUGCAAGCUAUGUAAAAAGACUGUCUGUCAAAAGUGUUGUUCAAAGAUGCGCAUACCGACGGAGCACUUCGCGCACGUGCCGGUGGUGCUGCUGAGCCCCUCUCUGCUGCCCUCUCCCGAGGACGAGGCGCCCUCCUUUCCCCGCAGCCUCGUCUCGCGACUCGUCUCCCCGGAGCACCACGACAACAGCGUGGGCAGCGCGCCGAGCAGCCCGGUGUCGCGGCGCGCGUGCCCGCAGUCUGCGCCGGGGUCGCGCGGCGGGUCGC
This is a long non-coding RNA of Papilio xuthus (Asian swallowtail), 268 nucleotides long. RefSeq lists it as uncharacterized. Lineage: Eukaryota; Metazoa; Arthropoda; Insecta; Lepidoptera; Papilionidae. The record is from RefSeq and is a predicted model, not a curated record. The transcript has 3 exons.